UUUCAGCUCCUCUUCUAGCCAAUCAAUCGAAGAGGGGAGGUGACGUCACUCCACUGCGACUCAUGGCUGUGUGUUGACAGGUGAAGAAAGAUAUCCCGGACAAUUACAGGAGUUCAUUCUUAAACAGCUUACAAGCAGCAGUCAGGCUUGGAUCGGUGUGACUGACAGCGACACAGAGGGGGUGUGGAAAUGGGUGGACAAUACACCACUGACCACUUCGUUCUGGUUGGUGGAGAACCAAAUAAUGCAGGCGAUGAGGACUGUGCCGAGAUUGUGAGUUGGAAGAACAGCUGGAACGACAGAUCAUGCUCUGCAAAUGUACGGUGUAUCUGUGAAAAGAACGUGUUUUUGUUGUAAGGUUAAAAUAACAGAAUGAGCAACAAGAGGGUGUGUGUUACAGUGAUUUCAUUAUUGGGAAGGGUGUUCUUAGGCAUUAAAG
Ictalurus punctatus (channel catfish) is the source of this 439-nucleotide long non-coding RNA. Lineage: Eukaryota; Metazoa; Chordata; Actinopteri; Siluriformes; Ictaluridae. The record is from Ensembl.